This is a long non-coding RNA of Bos taurus (domestic cattle), 674 nucleotides long. The record is from Ensembl. NCBI's taxonomy places the organism in Eukaryota, Metazoa, Chordata, Mammalia, Artiodactyla, Bovidae.
GAAUCAAACCGUGGAUCCAUUGCAUACGGGUGAAACUGGCUUCUGACCCAGCAACAAAUUCAUAGCCCUCAGAAGUUACAGAAAAGACAACAAAAAAGCUGACUGAAGCCAGUACUCCUUGCUGCAAGUCUGGACUAGGGCUUCAGUUAAAAACAGAGAAAGUAUCUUAGAUGGUAUGACAAAGUGGUCAAAGAGAGAGAUCGUGUUUUCAUGGUGCAAAAUGCUGACACUAGGCCUGGGACUCGAGAAUUCUUUGAGAAGAAGGUCCAAGACUUUUGCUCCUCUAAUCCUAGAGAAUCAACGUCGCCCUUGUUCAGCAGGAAGUAGCCAGAGUGGUUGUCACCCCUGUUCCCCUCUGGAUGGAGGAAUAUCAAAGAGCAGAGGGACCUGAAACUGAACAGAACCCUGUAGGAUCUUCCUGGAACCAAUACCACAUGAUGAAACCUGUUGACCUCAGCCAAGGUGACCCAAACAAGUUGGAGCCAGAAGAAUGAUGAUCAAGAUGCUAGAUAUCACUUUGUUGCUUAACACCCAACCAAUCAGAAGAAUCCAUGAGCUAAUCAUGUGCUUAAUACCCUUACUCUUAAUUUUAGUUUUUAAAAACUCUUGCCUGAAAGCCAUUGAGGAGUUCAGGUCCUCUAAGCAUUAGUUGCCCAUUCUCCUGCUUGGCAUCC